AUGUCCCUGUCCCCCAUGUCCCUGUCCUGGUCCCCGUCCCCCCCCGUCCCUGUCCCAGUCUUCCAUGUCUCUGUCCUUCUCCCCUGUGUCUGUGUCCCCUCCAUGUCCCUGCCCUCCUGUCCCUGUCCUGAUCCUCCUCCCUGUCCCUGCCCCAGUCCCUCCAUGCACCUGUCCUGGUCCCACUGCCCUAGUUCCAGUUUCCCCCAUGUCCCAGUCCCAGGCCCCCAUGUCCCUGUCCCAGUUCCCUCAUGUCUGUGUCUCCAUCCCAGUACCCCCAUGUCUGUUCCCUGUUCCUGUGUCUGUGUCCCUGUCUUGGUCCCCCAUGUCCUUGCCCCAGUUCCUGCAUGCUCCUGCCCUGGUCCCAGUGCCCCCACAUCCCUGUCCCCUCAUGUUCCAGUUCCAGUCCUCCAUGUCUCUGCCCUGGGCCCCCAUGUCUCUGUCCUGGGCCCCCACAUCCCGGUCCCAGUGCACCUGACACGGUCCUGGUCCCCCUGCAUCUUGGUCCAUAUCCCCCCAUGUCCUGGUCCCCAUCCCUCCACACUCCUGUCCUGGUCCCAGUCUCCUGUGUCCCUGUCCCAGUCCUUCAUGUCCCUGUCCUGUUCCCCCGUGUCUGUGUCCUGGUCCCCUCUGCCCCUGUCCCAGUCCCUCCACGCACCUGUCCUAGUCCUAGUGCCCCCAUGUCCCUACCCCCACAUCCCUGUCCCAGCCCUCCAUGUCCCUGCCUUGGUCCUCUGUAUCCAUGUCCUGGUCCCCCAUGUCAUGCUCCCAGUGUCCCUGUCCCAGUCCCUCUGCACACCUGUCCUGGUCUCAGUGUCUUGGUCCUGGUUCCCCCCAUCCUGGUCCUGGUCUCCUCUGUCCGUGUCCCAGUGCCUCCACGUCACUGCCCUGGUCCCCCACAUCUGUGCCCUGGUCCCCAGUGUCCUGGUCCCAUUGCCCCUGUCACAGUCCCGGUCCCCACACACCCUGGUGCCAGUGCCCCUGUGUCCCUGCUCCAGUCCCUCCAUGUCCCUGUCCUGUUCCCCCAUGUCCAUGUUCCGGUCCCGCCAUGUCCUGGUCCCAGUCCCCCAUGUCCCCGUCCCAGUUCCUCCAUGUCCCCGUCCCCGUCCCCCACGCCUCUGUCCCGGUCCCCCCGCUCCCUGGUCCCCGUGCCCCCGUGUCCCUGCCCCUGUCACUCCAUGUCCCUGUCCUGGUACCCCACGCCUGUGUCCCGGUUCCCCACAUCCUGGUCCCCGUCUCCUGUGUCCCCGUCCCUCCACGUCCCUGCCCCUGUCCCUCCAUGUCCCCGUCCCGGUCCCCCCCGCCCCCGCCCCCCGCACCCACCGUGCGGCGCCACCACCUCGACGCCGAGGAGCGGCGGGUCGAUGCCGGCGGCGCCCCGCGGUCCCCAACCGGGAGCGGGCCCGGGGCCGAGCUCCGGCGGGCCGGGGCCGGAACCGUUGCCGUUGCCGUUGCCGUUACCGACUCUGA
Molecule: long non-coding RNA, 1467 nt
Filed under: Accipiter nisus (Eurasian sparrowhawk)
Lineage: Eukaryota; Metazoa; Chordata; Aves; Accipitriformes; Accipitridae
Description: lncRNA (ENSANIG00000007444.1)
Source: RNAcentral